GAGAAAGACAGAGGAAGGAACUUAUUGAGAGUGAAGAUCGAGGAGUGAAGAAAGAAGUAAGAAAGGAUUGGAGUGAUUGAGUUGCAGUGAUUCAUCUAUGGCCAUUGAAUGCCUGCUGGCCAGACUUAUAGAAAAGGAGGAAAUGUGUUGGAAGAACAAACAACCCGAGGAAAAGCUGGAACCAG
Molecule: long non-coding RNA, 185 nt
Filed under: Salvator merianae (Argentine black and white tegu)
Lineage: Eukaryota; Metazoa; Chordata; Lepidosauria; Squamata; Teiidae
Description: lncRNA (ENSSMRG00000012699.1)
Source: RNAcentral